Molecule: unclassified non-coding RNA, 337 nt
Filed under: uncultured Ophiostomataceae
Lineage: Eukaryota; Fungi; Ascomycota; Sordariomycetes; Ophiostomatales
Description: sequence contains ITS1
Rfam family: 5.8S ribosomal RNA (bases 1-106)
Source: RNAcentral
CAAAUGCGAUACGCAAUGCGAAUUGCAGAAUUCCGCGAGUCAUCAGAUCUUUGAACGCAAGUGGCGCUGGGUUAACCAAUACCCCAGCAUGUUUGUUUCAGUGUGUUAGGAAUCAUAAAUCAUAAUGCGGUUGAGGAAGUUGAAUAAACUUCUUCUCCCGUUAAACAUGAAAGCGCUGAAAUUCGUUUCAGUUGCCAACCGAAGUAGUCACUUCUUUCUAGAAAGUGAUCUCGGUUUGUGCUAUAACUGAAGAUUUCACUUAAAGCGUCUUUAUCAUAAAAUCAAUUAUUUCUCCAUUCAACACCUGAAAUCAAGCAAGAUCACCCGCUGAACUUAA